Molecule: ribosomal RNA, 240 nt
Filed under: Triticum aestivum (bread wheat)
Lineage: Eukaryota; Viridiplantae; Streptophyta; Magnoliopsida; Poales; Poaceae
Description: partial small subunit ribosomal RNA
Source: RNAcentral
AUGAAGGGACAUGACCUUGUCGGUGCAUCCGACGAGCCUGCCGCCGAUGAACACCGCCGGCACAGCAGGGUUCCGGCCGAGGAGCCGCACCAGCGCCUUCUCCAUCUCCUUCCCCCUAGGGUCCUCGUCAAGUUCCACCACCAUCGGGUUCACCCCGAGAUCCCGGAGGAGGCUCGUCACGGUGUGGCACAUGCAGCAGGAGCUCAUGCCGAAGAUCACCACCGCCCGCUGCCCCGCUAG